Small nucleolar RNA from Dioscorea cayenensis subsp. rotundata (Guinea yam), 106 nucleotides. RefSeq annotates it as small nucleolar RNA snoR97. NCBI's taxonomy places the organism in Eukaryota, Viridiplantae, Streptophyta, Magnoliopsida, Dioscoreales, Dioscoreaceae. The record is from RefSeq and is a predicted model, not a curated record. The transcript has a single exon.
CUUUAACUAUAGGCAUUGAGGUUGAAAAGCUCAGAAAUUGUGUGUUGUCUAUCUACUCUUUCUCCCAAAUUAAUGUGGAUAGGGUUAAAAUUUCGGCAUUAAAUGG